GCAGGCUGCAACCCGCCCUGCAUGAAGCUGGAAUCGCUAGUAAUCGCGGAUCAGAAUGCCGCGGUGAAUACGUUCCCGGGUCUUGUACACACCGCCCGUCACACCAUGGGAGUCGGUAACGCCCGAAGUCAGUGACCCAACCGAAAGGAGGGAGCUGCCGAAGGCGGGACUGGUAACUGGGGUGAAGUCGUAACAAGGUAAC
RNAcentral lists this ribosomal RNA (202 nucleotides) under uncultured bacterium. RNAcentral describes it as "partial 16S ribosomal RNA". It matches the Rfam family "Bacterial small subunit ribosomal RNA", at positions 1300 to 1500 of the family's 1533-position model. The record is from RNAcentral.